UACGGAGGGUGCAAGCGUUAUCCGGAUUCACUGGGUUUAAAGGGUGCGUAGGUGGGCAGGUAAGUCAGUGGUGAAAUCUCCGGGCUUAACCCGGAACUGCCGUUGAUACUAUCUGUCUUGAAUAUCGUGGAGGUGAGCGGAAUAUGUCAUGUAGCGGUGAAAUGCUUAGAUAUGACAUAGAACAUCAAUUGCGAAGGCAGCUCGCUACACGGUUAUUGACACUGAGGCACGAAAGCGUGGGGAUCAAACAGG
RNAcentral lists this ribosomal RNA (252 nucleotides) under uncultured bacterium. RNAcentral describes it as "partial 16S ribosomal RNA". It matches the Rfam family "Bacterial small subunit ribosomal RNA", at positions 524 to 776 of the family's 1533-position model. The record is from RNAcentral.